This is a long non-coding RNA of Suricata suricatta (meerkat), 260 nucleotides long. RefSeq lists it as uncharacterized. The record is from RefSeq and is a predicted model, not a curated record. The transcript is spliced from 2 exons. NCBI's taxonomy places the organism in Eukaryota, Metazoa, Chordata, Mammalia, Carnivora, Herpestidae.
CCUGGGAUCUUAUUUCUCUUCCCCAGACCUUCAUAUAUAAAUGAAAUAUAGUUAUCACAAGAUUAAAAGUGGAGAUAUUUGAACUUUCAAUGAAGCUGUUUGAUAAAGAAGAGAACAAUGAUUUUACAUUCAGAAUUCUGAUGAAGUAUGUUUUGUUAAAUCUGCCUUUAUGAAGAAUUGAUGUGAUAUGUUCUUUGGAACAUCUCGUAGAAGAACUAUGUGAAUAUUCUAAUGGAAGUAAAUAAAAUAUUGAGAAAACA